This 258-nucleotide long non-coding RNA is filed under the name Homo sapiens (human). RNAcentral describes it as "HSALNT0361399". The record is from RNAcentral. Lineage: Eukaryota; Metazoa; Chordata; Mammalia; Primates; Hominidae.
GGGAGAUGAAAACUUGGCACCAUCACCCCAGCUUCAGAACUCCCCUGGGGCUCUCCUUAAUGAGCUAACGUCCUCCACAGGAAUGUUCGUCUGCGGGGUUGCUUCCUGGGAACCAGCCUGUCCCGGGGUUCCUGAAGCUGCUCUGCUUCUUCAUCGUCCCCUUCAGUUCUCUGAGCCACUCCAGCAAUAUAUUCUCAUUUUUUGUUAGACGUCUUUUGAGUUUAAAUUUUGUCACUUCUAAACACUUCUGAAAGAUUC